RNAcentral lists this long non-coding RNA (1419 nucleotides) under Polistes fuscatus (common paper wasp). RNAcentral's name for it is "uncharacterized LOC122524314, transcript variant X2". The record is from RNAcentral. Lineage: Eukaryota; Metazoa; Arthropoda; Insecta; Hymenoptera; Vespidae.
GAAGUUUUUAAUUUCAGAUUGUACUACUACGUUAGUCAUAGAUUUUGGCAGUUUGAAAAAAAUGGCGGCAACUCUCACUCAAAUUAAACGUCCGUCUGGUGCAAUAUAAUAUUUCAAGAAGAAAAGCUCACAGGAAGGAGAAAAUAAAAUCGCGGAUUGUGUCAGGAGGUAAACCAGAGCGAUAGAUUAUUUAUCGAGACAUCUUUCGUUUCGUUCUUCUCGUUCCAUUCUUCUUCUCCUUCUCAUCCCUAUUUCUCAAAGCUCCGUGCGUCAUCCGGCGUCUCCCCAGGGAUUCAGGAAACAAUGUCAUCUAUCUUCCAGCGUGAUCCACGUCCGGUGCAUCAUGCUGGAAUUACCGGUACUAAUACACACUACUGUAUCGUAUAGCCGAGACUAUAUGAGGAUCUAAGGUUAACCUUUUCAUCCCUAAUAGAGAUCCUACCUAGUUGAUUUAUCCUGUUCAAAAAUCAAUCCUUGAUUUUGAUUACUACUUAAAUUUCAUUAAAAAUUUAUGAAGAAAAUGUUUGAUAAAUGAUAAAAGCGUGUAACAAGAUGGACGAUCUGGAAAAAUAUAGAUAUAGUAUGCAUUCAUACAUUCAUAUAUACAUACAUGAAUUCACAAAGUAGAUCAGUUGCGUUUUGUGAAGAAGGAACGAACAUAACGGUGAAAAGCGACGAUUUUCCUGGAAAAAUUUUCAACGCACGGAUCUUACUUGAUAGUAGUGCAAGGAUAAAAUUAUUAUUUAAUGAAUGUUCGGGUAUUCAAAAUUCUGCUGUAUACGUUUCUACGUAUGCAUAUACAUGCAUAGAUGUAUUAGAGUCUUUACGGAUUUUAUAGAAAUGGCAAAGGCAAUGGUGGUAUAUUCAUCGUUUAAAUAAAUUAUGAGAAUUAAGGACUUUGAGUAAGCCCGUUUUGAACUUUUAGAGCGUGAUUUAUUUGCUCGUGAAUAAAUCCUUUAUAUAGUGAGAAUAGGUGAUAGGAGUUUGGUAAAGUGAGAGAUGGGAAGGAACGAAACUGGCAGGUUGGUGUCGUACACGCAACGAGGAAACUGCUAAGACGUUUCUUGUAUCUACAUACAAACAAGAUCUCUGAUGGUAAGACUGCCUAAGGUUGACAGCUGUCUGAGAAUUUUCACUGCGACAACGACGACGAAGACGAAGACGACGAGAACGACGAUGACGACGACGACGGUGCUAUCUCCAUAGCUGGAUCAAUUUCCUGGAUCCCUUUCGUGUGAAACAUACUAGUUGAAGAAUAGCUAGCUACCUUGGUUACCCAAUUCGAGAAUAAACGAAGAAACGAAGGAACGAAGGAAUGAACGAACGAACGAAUGUUGCCAUUAGCGGUCGAGUGCAUUCGAGUUUGUGAAAAUGUAAGCUAAAAAGAGAAAUACUAAGAAACUGUGCAAAAUAGAAAAA